UGAAAGCGAGAGCACGAGCGCGCGCGCUAACGGCGGUCUGCCCGGAUCCUAACACAUCAAUAAUCAACAUACACAUUUCCUGCUAGUUGACAUUACCGAUAGACCUGGCCGCCGCGAUCAUUAAUAAAUGAUGUACGAAUCUACACGACGAAGGAUAGACUCACAGGAACUCGGCAACAAAAAGAGGACUUCAUAGAACACGAUGGGUGGAGGUGACGCGCCUGAAAGACAGGAUGGACAGUCACAAGCCCUCGGGCCACUUAGAGAGGUAACACACAAUAAGGAAAGAGCAACAAGUGAGAGGGCCGGCGACUAACAGAGGCAGAGACCGACCUAGAGGGGGAUGUUUUUUCACACGAUGCGAAACAGCAUAGGGGGACGGUAGGGCAGAAAAUGAAAAUUUGGUAAAAGGGAAUGGCCCUUUAGCCUUGUAAAGGGUAGGAGUGAUUGGGAUGGGGAAUAUUAGCGAAAGGAAGAUGAUUUAAAAGGAAGACGUAGUUGGAAAAAAAACCAAAGAACUAACACAAGGUUCCCGUAGGUAAGGCCUUAGGUGGUCUGUGCUGUAAAAUGCUACAGGGCAACCCAAGCGNCGCAAUAUUUUUUUUUUACCAGCACCCGUGAGGGAAAGUUGAAAAGAACUUUGAAGAGAGAGUUCAAAAGGGCGGGAAACCGUUUAGAAGUAAACGGGUAAAGCCGCGAGAUAGCUGUAAAAAUCAAUCAAAGGAUUGGGUAGUCGGUCGUUGGACUGAUCGUCAUUUGACGUCCUUCGGCCGACGUUAAAUCAAACUCAUCUUUCUUUGACUCAUUUUUUAUGGCGUACUAUCGCAACCGGAGCCAAUUCCGGCUGAAUGGAGUGUUUGAAGACGAAACGAUUUGUGUCGUCUCGUGACUAGACUAGCCAGGAAGCUGAGUAAUGGGCUCCGACUCCUCGACUUAUUUACGAUUAGCUCUCUCGUAGAGCUAGACUUUGUCGACUGGUUGGUCAAUUAAAAUGAUGGUUUUUGCUUGCAGGGACGGACGACGCUUGGCUGAUUAGUUCGGCACGACUUGGUCGACUAUUCUCAAUCGUAAUGGAUUCGCGAUAUUCGCAGCGGCGACUUACCCGACCCGUCUUGAAACACGGACCAAGGAGUGUAACAUAUGUGCGAGUUUGUAGGUUGAAAGAAACCUAAAGGCGUAAUAAAAGUAAAAGAUGCUUUUGUAGCUGAAAUAAGAUCCUUGGUCUCUCGGGGCCAAGGCGAAGUAUUGUCCCAUCCUAAGCGGUUCGGCCGCUAGGUGGAGAAAGAGCACAAAUGAUGGGACCCGAAAGAUGGUGAACUAUGCUGAGCAGAACGAAGCCAGAGGAAGAUCUGGUGGAGGUUGCGUAGCGGUUCUGACGUCCAAAUCGAUCGUCAGACAUGACAUUACUAUGAAACGAUUAGGGG
Molecule: ribosomal RNA, 1424 nt
Filed under: Hexamermis agrotis
Lineage: Eukaryota; Metazoa; Nematoda; Enoplea; Mermithida; Mermithidae
Description: eukaryotic LSU rRNA
Rfam family: Eukaryotic large subunit ribosomal RNA (bases 559-1424)
Source: RNAcentral